CCUACGGGAGGCUGCAGUGAGGAAUAUUGGUCAAUGGGCGCGAGCCUGAACCAGCCAAGCCCCGUGAGGGAAGACGGUCCUAUGGAUUGUAAACCUCUUUUGUCGGGGAGCAAAAGACGCCACGCGUGGCGUUCCGAGAGUACCCGAAGAAAAAGCAUCGGCUAACUCCGUGCCAGCAGCCGCGGUAAUCCGGAGGAUGCGAGCGUUAUCCGGAUAUAUUGGGUUUAAGGGGGGCGCAGGCGGAAGAUCAAGUCAGCGGUAAAAUUGAGAGGCUCAACCUCUUAGAGCCGUUGAAACUGGUUGUCUUGAGUGAGGGAGAAGUAUGCGGAAUGCGUGGUGUAGCGGUGAAAUGCAUAGAUAUCACGCAGAACUCCGAUUGCGAAGGCAGCAUACCGGCGCUCAACUGACGCUGAUGCACGAAAGUGUGGGUAUCGAACAGGAUUAGAUACCCGAGUAGUC
RNAcentral lists this ribosomal RNA (459 nucleotides) under uncultured bacterium. RNAcentral describes it as "partial 16S ribosomal RNA". It matches the Rfam family "Bacterial small subunit ribosomal RNA", at positions 338 to 795 of the family's 1533-position model. The record is from RNAcentral.